UUCCUAGUGAUCCAGUUGUUAAGAUUUUACACUACCAAUGUAAGGGGCAUGGGUUCGAUCCCUGGUUGGGGAA
This 73-nucleotide transfer RNA is filed under the name Ovis aries (sheep). It matches the Rfam family "tRNA". From Rfam's summary of the family: Transfer RNA (tRNA) molecules are approximately 80 nucleotides in length. Their secondary structure includes four short double-helical elements and three loops (D, anti-codon, and T loops). The record is from Rfam by way of RNAcentral. Lineage: Eukaryota; Metazoa; Chordata; Mammalia; Artiodactyla; Bovidae.